GACGAACGCUGGCGGCGUGCCUAACACAUGCGAGUCGAACGGAAAGGCCCUGCGUUUGUGUGGUUCUCGAUUGGCGAACGGGUGAGUAACACGUGAGGAACCUGCCCUUGACUGUGUGAUAACUUCACGAAACAGGGGCUAAUACCCGGGAGAAUCUUCUGCUGCAUGUUGGUGGUUGGAGAGUUUCGGCGGUUGUGGAUGUACUCGCUGCUUAUGAGCUGGUUUGUGGAGUAGUGGCUUACCAAGGCUUUGACGGGUAGGCGGCAUGUGAGUGUUGACAGCUACCAUGGGACUGCGAUACGGAGCAGAAUCGUACGGGCGGCAGCAGUGGGAAAUCUUGCACAAUGGGGGGACGUGAGAUGUAGCAGUGUCGCGUGCGGGAUGACGGGCUUUGGGUUGUAAACAGAUUUCGAAUGUGAUGAAGAGUGCUUGACGGUAAUGGGUAAAGAAGCAACGGCUAACUACGUG
RNAcentral lists this ribosomal RNA (468 nucleotides) under uncultured bacterium. RNAcentral's name for it is "partial 16S ribosomal RNA". It matches the Rfam family "Bacterial small subunit ribosomal RNA", at positions 28 to 507 of the family's 1533-position model. The record is from RNAcentral.